AGCGAACGCUGGCGGCAUGCCUAACACAUGCAAGUCGCACGGGUCGGCUUCGGCCGUUCUGUGGCGGACGGGUGAGGAACGCGUAGGGAUCUGUCCUCUGGUGGGGGAUAACCGCGGGAAACUGCGGCUAAGACCGCAUGCGGCUCCGGUGUGAGAUCCGGUGUCACAGGCGCCCAUCGUGAGGUGGGUGUCUACGGGGGGUGAGCCUUCGUCCGAUUAGCUGGUUGGGGGGGUGGUGGGACACCACGGCGUCGAUCGGUAGCUGGUCUGAGAGGGUGAUCAGCGACACUGGCAGUGGGCCGCAGCCGAGAAUCCUACGGGAGGGGGGAGUGGGGGAUAUUGGAACAUGGCGGCAAGGAUGAUGCAGCACUGCCGGGUGGGUGCAGAAGGUCUUCGGAAAGUAAAGCCCUAGCGGCGGGGCCGAUGGUGACGGUACCCGAAGAAGAAGCCCCGGCUAACUUCGUG
RNAcentral lists this ribosomal RNA (465 nucleotides) under uncultured bacterium. Its description in RNAcentral is "partial 16S ribosomal RNA". It matches the Rfam family "Bacterial small subunit ribosomal RNA", at positions 28 to 507 of the family's 1533-position model. The record is from RNAcentral.